RNAcentral lists this unclassified non-coding RNA (264 nucleotides) under uncultured fungus. RNAcentral describes it as "partial contains 5.8S ribosomal RNA, internal transcribed spacer 2, and large subunit ribosomal RNA". The stretch from base 1 to 52 matches the Rfam family "5.8S ribosomal RNA", at positions 103 to 154 of the family's 154-position model. Lineage: Eukaryota; Fungi. The record is from RNAcentral.
AACGCACAUUGCGCCCAUUGGUAUUCCAUUGGGCAUGUCUGUUUGAGCGUCAUUACAACCCUCGGUCACCACCGGUUUUGAGCAAGCGGGGUCCCCUGACCCGGCUGGCUUUAAAGUUGUAAGCUCCGCUGGCUGCCAGGCCCAACCGGAACAUAGUAAAAUCAUGCUUGUUCGCGGUUCGCGGUCGGAGCGGUACGGCCUGAACAAUACCUACCACCUCUUAGGUUUGACCUCAGAUCAGACAAGGAUACCCGCUGAACUUAA